AUGAACUAUUUCAACACCCAGGAAAUAGUUGAAGCAAAUAAACCUUAAAAAAUUACUCAUUCUGCAUUUUUGUUAUACUUUUAUGCCAUUUUUGAAAUAUAUACAUAACAUAGCAUUUGCCCAUCUUUAUUUCGGAUGUUUCAAUGAAAAGUAUGCUAAAUUCAGUCUUUUUUCUCUUACUUGUAUUUGUCAGGUCUGUAUGCCUGCAUACCGACCUGGUGUAUGCUUAACUCUUACUCUAUGUGUACAAAUGUAUACUAGAAUUUGUCAGGUCUGUAUGCCAGCAUACUGACUUGGUGUGUGCUAAACUCUCACUGUAUGCGUAUACUAGUAUUUGUCAAGUCUGUAUGCCUGCAUACCGACCUGGCGUAUUCUAAACUCUCACUUUCUGCGUAUAUUAGUAUUUGUCAGGUCUGUAUGCCUGCAUAUAGACUCAAAUUAUUAUUUAUUUUGGCAUUUUUCUGCCAGGUACUUGCAUGCCUGCAUGGAUUCUUAAAUUUUAUUCUGGAUUCAUGUUUGUAUUGGCAAGUCUGUCUGCCUGAAUGCUAAGCAUUUACUGUGUAGUAACAUUUCUUAUUUACUUAUGUUUGCAUAACCAACCCCCCAUAGAAAAUAAGGAGAUGUGUAUGAUUUUGAAAGAGACAUACAAAUGUAUCUCCAUCAAACAUGUCAAAGGCCGAAUUACAUCGAUGUAAGGAAUUACUUAUGUAUAGCCUUCAACUUCGUUUGAAUUUGAAAGAAAGCUCUCAAUUCUUAACUGCAACACUCAGGGGUUUAUUCCUGUAUAUCAACCCGCUUUUCAAUAAACUCUUGUAAAAAAAUGGAAUUCAUAGGUUUGAUUGUCGGCAUACCGACCUAUAGUCCUAUACACAUUGGAACAUAAAAGUUUGCAUAUUUGUUUGACAUUUUCAGUUCACGGUAUUCUUGCAUACAACACUGGUGUACGGUGAACACUUAUUUUUUUUUUA
Mytilus californianus (California mussel) is the source of this 968-nucleotide long non-coding RNA. RefSeq lists it as uncharacterized. Lineage: Eukaryota; Metazoa; Mollusca; Bivalvia; Mytilida; Mytilidae. The transcript has 2 exons. The record is from RefSeq and is a predicted model, not a curated record.